CUCACCCUGCACUCUGUCUCAGAGCUGGUCCGGCUCUGCUUGCGCAGGUGUGACGUCCAGGAAGACAGCGAGGGCUCAGACACAGAUGACAAUAAAGAUUCAACACCAUUUGAGGACAACGAGGUACAAGACGAGUUCCUAGAGAAGUUGGAGACAUCAGAAUUCUUUGAGCUGACCUCAGAGGAGAAGCUACGGAUAUUGACAGCUCUGUGCCACCGGAUCCUCAUGACGUACUCUGUGCAAGACCACAUGGAGACCAGACAGCAGAUGUCUGCAGAGUUGUGGAAGGAGCGGCUUGCCGUGCUGAAGGAGGAGAAUGAUAAGAAGAGAGCAGAGAAACAAAAGCGCAAGGAGAUGGAAGCCAGAAAUAAGGAAAAUGGCAAAGAGGAGAACGUGCUAGGCAAAGUGGACAGGAAGAAGGAAAUUGUGAAG
Molecule: long non-coding RNA, 432 nt
Filed under: Rattus norvegicus (Norway rat)
Lineage: Eukaryota; Metazoa; Chordata; Mammalia; Rodentia; Muridae
Description: long non-coding RNA NONRATT007879
Source: RNAcentral